CGACCGGCGGAUGGGUGCGUAACGCGUAUGCAACUUGCCUCACAGAGAAGAAUAACCCGGAGAAAUCCGGACUAAUGCUCCAUACACUCUCAAGUACGCCUGUACAUGAGAGGAAAGAUUUAUCGCUGUGAGAUAGGCAUGCGUCCUAUUAGGUAGUUGGUGAGGUAACGGCUCACCAAGCCGACGAUAGGUAGGGGUGCUGAGAGGCAGAUCCCCCACAUUGGGACUGAGACACGGCCCAA
This 242-nucleotide ribosomal RNA is filed under the name uncultured bacterium. Its description in RNAcentral is "partial 16S ribosomal RNA". It matches the Rfam family "Bacterial small subunit ribosomal RNA", at positions 92 to 334 of the family's 1533-position model. The record is from RNAcentral.